UUUUUUAUGGAGAGUUUGAUCCUGGCUCAGGACGAACGCUGGCGGCGUGCUUAACACAUGCAAGUCGAACGGAAAGGCCUAGCUUGCUAGGUACUCGAGUGGCGAACGGGUGAGUAACACGUGGGUGAUCUGCCUCGUACUUCGGGAUAAGCCUGGGAAACUGGGUCUAAUACUGGAUAGGACCAUGCUUUAGUGUGUGUGGUGGAAAGUUUUUUCGGUACGAGAUGAGCCCGCGGCCUAUCAGCUUGUUGGUGGGGUAAUGGCCUACCAAGGCGUCGACGGGUAGCCGGCCUGAGAGGGUGGACGGCCACAUUGGGACUGAGAUACGGCCCAGACUCCUACGGGAGGCAGCAGUGGGGAAUAUUGCACAAUGGGCGCAAGCCUGAUGCAGCGACGCCGCGUGGGGGAUGACGGCCUUCGGGUUGUAAACCUCUUUCGCUAGGGACGAAGCUUUUUGUGACGGUACCUAGAUAAGAAGCACCGGCUAACUACGUGCCAGCAGCCGCGGUAAUACGUAGGGUGCGAGCGUUGUCCGGAAUUACUGGGCGUAAAGAGCUCGUAGGUGGUUUGUCGCGUCGUCUGUGAAAUUCCGGGGCUUAACUUCGGGCGUGCAGGCGAUACGGGCAUAACUUGAGUGCUGUAGGGGAGACUGGAAUUCCUGGUGUAGCGGUGGAAUGCGCAGAUAUCAGGAGGAACACCGAUGGCGAAGGCAGGUCUCUGGGCAGUAACUGACGCUGAGGAGCGAAAGCAUGGGGAGCGAACAGGAUUAGAUACCCUGGUAGUCCAUGCCGUAAACGGUGGGCGCUAGGUGUGAGGGUCUUCCACGACUUUCGUGCCGUAGCUAACGCAUUAAGCGCCCCGCCUGGGGAGUACGGCCGCAAGGCUAAAACUCAAAGGAAUUGACGGGGGCCCGCACAAGCGGCGGAGCAUGUGGAUUAAUUCGAUGCAACGCGAAGAACCUUACCUGGGCUUGACAUAUGCAGGAUCGGCGUAGAGAUACGUUUUCCCUUGUGGUCUGUAUACAGGUGGUGCAUGGUUGUCGUCAGCUCGUGUCGUGAGAUGUUGGGUUAAGUCCCGCAACGAGCGCAACCCUUGUCUUAUGUUGCCAGCACGUGAUGGUGGGGACUCAUGAGAGACUGCCGGGGUUAACUCGGAGGAAGGUGGGGAUGACGUCAAAUCAUCAUGCCCCUUAUGUCCAGGGCUUCACACAUGCUACAAUGGUCGGUACAACGCGCUGCGAGCCUGUGAGGGUGAGCGAAUCGCUGAAAGCCGGCCUCAGUUCGGAUUGGGGUCUGCAACUCGACCCCAUGAAGUCGGAGUCGCUAGUAAUCGCAGAUCAGCAACGCUGCGGUGAAUACGUUCCCGGGCCUUGUACACACCGCCCGUCACGUCAUGAAAGUUGGUAACACCCGAAGCCAGUGGCCUAACCCUUGUGGGGGGAGCUGUCGAAGGUGGGAUCGGCGAUUGGGACGAAGUCGUAACAAGGUAGCCGUACCGGAAGGUGCGGCUGGAUCACCUCCUUUCUAAGGAG
This 1531-nucleotide ribosomal RNA is filed under the name Corynebacterium diphtheriae. RNAcentral's name for it is "bacterial SSU rRNA". It matches the Rfam family "Bacterial small subunit ribosomal RNA". The record is from RNAcentral. Lineage: Bacteria; Bacillati; Actinomycetota; Actinomycetes; Mycobacteriales; Corynebacteriaceae.